Molecule: long non-coding RNA, 181 nt
Organism: Telopea speciosissima
Lineage: Eukaryota; Viridiplantae; Streptophyta; Magnoliopsida; Proteales; Proteaceae
Exons: 3
Source: RefSeq, a predicted model, not a curated record
AGAUUGAUGGGGAAGGAUGAUGGAUCCUGUGGCUCUGAUACCAAAUUGGUGGAGGGCCGAUAGGAGAAGGGAAGAAGUAGCCUGAGAGGGGUCUCAGAGUUGCAAGGGAGAGGAACAAUUCGCAUAAGAAAGGAGGGGGUGGGGGAAAAGAGAAUCGCACACACCAGCCCAAAGGCUUCAA